GAUGAACGCUGGCGGCGUGCCUAAUACAUGCAAGUCGAGCGAACAGACGAGGAGCUUGCUCCUCUGACGUUAGCGGCGGACGGGUGAGUAACACGUGGAUAACCUACCUAUAAGACUGGGAUAACUUCGGGAAACCGGAGCUAAUACCGGAUAAUAUAUUGAACCGCAUGGUUCAAUAGUGAAAGACGGUUUUGCUGUCACUUAUAGAUGGAUCCGCGCCGCAUUAGCUAGUUGGUAAGGUAACGGCUUACCAAGGCGACGAUGCGUAGCCGACCUGAGAGGGUGAUCGGCCACACUGGAACUGAGACACGGUCCAGACUCCUACGGGAGGCAGCAGUAGGGAAUCUUCCGCAAUGGGCGAAAGCCUUACGGAGCAACGCCGCGUGAGUGAUGAAGGUCUUCGGAUCGUAAAACUCUGUUAUUAGGGAAGAACAAAUGUGUAAGUAACUAUGCACGUCUUGACGGUACCGAAUCAGAAAGCCACGGCUAACUACGUG
Molecule: ribosomal RNA, 497 nt
Filed under: uncultured bacterium
Lineage: Bacteria
Description: partial 16S ribosomal RNA
Rfam family: Bacterial small subunit ribosomal RNA
Source: RNAcentral